This 497-nucleotide ribosomal RNA is filed under the name uncultured bacterium. RNAcentral describes it as "partial 16S ribosomal RNA". It matches the Rfam family "Bacterial small subunit ribosomal RNA", at positions 28 to 507 of the family's 1533-position model. The record is from RNAcentral.
GAUGAACGCUGGCGGCGUGCCUAAUACAUGCAAGUCGAGCGAACGGACGAGAAGCUUGCUUCUCUGAUGUUAGCGGCGGACGGGUGAGUAACACGUGGAUAACCUACCUAUAAGACUGGGAUAACUUCGGGAAACCGGAGCUAAUACCGGAUGAUAUUUUGAACCGCAUGGUUCAAAAGUGAAAGACGGUCUUUCUGUCACUUAUAGAUGGAUCCGCGCUGCAUUAGCUAGUUGGUAAGGUAACGGCUUACCAAGGCAACGAUGCAUAGCCGACCUGAGAGGGUGAUCGGCCACACUGGAACUGAGACACGGUCCAGACUCCUACGGGAGGCAGCAGUAGGGAAUCUUACGCAAUGGGCGAAAGCCUGACGGAGCAACGCCGCGUGAGUGAUGAAGGUCUUCGGAUCGUAAAACUCUGUUAUUAGGGAAGAACAUAUGUGUAAGUAACUGUGCACAUCUUGACGGUACCUAAUCAGAAAGCCACGGCUAACUACGUG